Molecule: ribosomal RNA, 440 nt
Filed under: uncultured bacterium
Lineage: Bacteria
Description: partial 16S ribosomal RNA
Rfam family: Bacterial small subunit ribosomal RNA
Source: RNAcentral
CCUACGGGAGGCAGCAGUGGGGGAUAUUGCACAAUGGGGGCAACCCUGAUGCAGCGACGCCGCGUGAGGGAAGAAGUAUUUCUGUAUGUAAAGCUCUAUCUGCAGGGGAGAAAAUGACAGUACCUGACCAGGAAGCCCCGGCUAACUACGUGCCAGCAGCCGCGGUAAUACGUAGGGGGCAAGCGUUAUCCGGAUUUACUGGGUGUAAAGGGAGCGUAGACGGUUAUGUAAGUCUGGAGUGAAAGCCCGGGGCCCAACCCCGGGACUGCUUUGGAAACUGUGGAACUGGAGUAUAGGAGGGGUAGGCGGAAUUCAUGGUGUAGCGGUGAAAUGCAUAGAUAUCAGGAGGAACACCGGCGGCGAAGGCGGCCUGCUGAACUGCAACUGACGUUGAGGCUCGAAAGCGUGGGGAGCAAACAGGAUUAGAUACCCGUGUAGUC